Long non-coding RNA from Silurus meridionalis, 905 nucleotides. RefSeq lists it as uncharacterized. The record is from RefSeq and is a predicted model, not a curated record. The transcript is spliced from 3 exons. NCBI's taxonomy places the organism in Eukaryota, Metazoa, Chordata, Actinopteri, Siluriformes, Siluridae.
UCGAGAUGCCCAGAGAACCCGGGAGGAACUGCGGAUGUCGCCAUAUUGUUGCUGCUCUUCUCCUCCUCCUCCCCAGCGCGCGCGGACAACCUGCAUAAUUGAUGACUCUCAGCAAAAAAGAAAAAUGUCAGAAACCCAAAUCUGCCUUCAUUUGUUCAGACAACAACCUGACGAAGCUCCAACACACCUCACAUCUCAGAGAACCACAUCCUCUCAGUGGAUCUGCUUUCUUCUUCCUGUGAGGUGAUGCCAGUGAACUGAUUCAAAGACUCGCCAUGCCAAUAUCUUCUGAUUCCAAUCUUGAUCCUGAUCCUGAAGCGAUUCCAGAUCAAAAUUCUGGAAAUGUUGUGAUUUGGAAAGCAAUAUUAAAGCAUGAAACCUCUCGCCCAAGACACACACGCUAGCUAGGUAACCGAGAGUAGAACACAAAUCAUUUAAAUUCUUCAGGAUUCAUUUUUCAUUAGUAUUAAUUAUUUUUAUUAGUCUUUAUUAUUAUUUUUUUUUUUGCGGUUUAGAGCUGAUUUAUCAGGAUGUGAUGUUUAUUUCCUAAAUUCCUAAUUAAGUUACAUGAAGAGCGCUUUGUGUUCCAUCAUCACCACCACCACGGGGUCCCACCACCAAAAGGAACUUCCUGAUACACUAAACAUGCUGCCAGAUGACAGCAAAGUGUUCUUAUUUGUUUGUUUGUUUGUUUGUUUGUUUGUUUUGCGUCGCUAUUUUACAUAUAAUGGCACCCCCUAGUGGCUCAGGUGAUCACAUCUCAGUGCUUCUCAUCACACACCACUGAUUCCACUGUAAGUGACAGAAAUGAGAACUUUAUCUGUUUACAACAAUGAACACUUUUGGUAGAACAGAUUUAUGUCAUGUUUCAUAUACAAUUUUAUCCAAUAAAUUAAAAUGUCUGU